GAUGAACGCUAGCGACAGGCCUAACACAUGCAAGUCGAGGGGCAGCACGGUGUAGCAAUACACGGGUGGCGACCGGCGCACGGGUGAGUAACGCGUAUGCAACCUGCCUACUACAAGGGGAUAACCCGUUGAAAGACGGACUAAUACCCUAUAACGCAGGGAAUCCGCAUGGAUAUAUUUGUUAAAGAUUUAUCGGUAGUAGAUGGGCAUGCGUUCCAUUAGCUUGUUGGUGAGGUAACGGCUCACCAAGGCAACGAUGGAUAGGGGAACUGAGAGGUUGAUCCCCCACACUGGAACUGAGACACGGUCCAGACUCCUACGGGAGGCAGCAGUGAGGAAUAUUGGUCAAUGGACGAGAGUCUGAACCAGCCAAGUCGCGUGAAGGAAGACGGCCCUACGGGUUGUAAACUUCUUUUGUAAGGGAAUAAAUAGUCUUACGCGCUAAGACGUUGCAGGUACCUUACGAAUAAGGAUCGGCUAACUCCGUG
Molecule: ribosomal RNA, 488 nt
Filed under: uncultured bacterium
Lineage: Bacteria
Description: bacterial SSU rRNA
Rfam family: Bacterial small subunit ribosomal RNA
Source: RNAcentral